GUUCAAAAGUGAAAGACGGUCUUGCUGUCACUUAUAGAUGGAUCCGCGCUGCAUUAGCUAGUUGGUAAGGUAACGGCUUACCAAGGCAACGAUGCAUAGCCGACCUGAGAGGGUGAUCGGCCACACUGGAACUGAGACACGGUCCAGACUCCUACGGGAGGCAGCAGUAGGGAAUCUUCCGUAAUGGGCGAAAGCCUGACGGAGCAACGCCGCGUGAGUGAUGAAGGUCUUCGGAUCGUAAAACUCUGUUAUUAGGGAAGAACAUAUGUGUAAGUAACUGUGCACAUCUUGACGGUACCUAAUCAGAAAGCCACGGCUAACUACGUGCCAGCAGCCGCGGUAAUACGUAGGUGGCAAGCGUUAUCCGGAAUUAUUGGGCGUAAAGCGCGCGUAGGCGGUUUUUUAAGUCUGACGUGAAAGCCCACGGCUCAACCGUGGAGGGUCAUUGGAAACUGGAAAACUUGAGUGCAGAAGAGGAAAGUGGAAUUCCAUGUGUAGCGGUGAAAUGCGCAGAGAUAUGGAGGAACACCAGUGGCGAAGGCGACUUUCUGGUCUGUAACUGACGCUGAUGUGCGAAAGCGUGGGGAUCAAACAGGAUUAGAUACCCUGGUAGUCCACGCCGUAAACGAUGAGUGCUAAGUGUUAGGGGGUUUCCGCCCCUUAGUGCUGCAGCUAACGCAUUAAGCACUCCGCCUGGGGAGUACGACCGCA
RNAcentral lists this ribosomal RNA (711 nucleotides) under uncultured Staphylococcus sp. RNAcentral describes it as "bacterial SSU rRNA". It matches the Rfam family "Bacterial small subunit ribosomal RNA", at positions 192 to 890 of the family's 1533-position model. The record is from RNAcentral. Lineage: Bacteria; Bacillati; Bacillota; Bacilli; Caryophanales; Staphylococcaceae.